AAGCGCUUGCAACCAGACUUGAGCGCGGCGGUUCCCCUAGCCUUUUGGCUAGGUUACUCCGCCGUGUCCAGGCCAACAUCGGUUCUGAGGGUCGGUCAAAGGCCUUGGGAAUGUAGCUUCUUUCGGGGAGUGUUAUAGCCCUCGGUGCAAUGCCGCCUACCUGGACCGAGGACCGCGCUUCGGCUAGGAUGCUGGCGUAAUGGUUGUAAGCGA
This 213-nucleotide ribosomal RNA is filed under the name Chaetothyriales sp. Its description in RNAcentral is "partial large subunit ribosomal RNA". The record is from RNAcentral. Lineage: Eukaryota; Fungi; Ascomycota; Eurotiomycetes; Chaetothyriales.